CCCCCCCCCCCUCCCCCAUCCCCUCCAUCUGUCCUCCCCCAUCCCCUCCAUCCACCUCUCCCCGUUUAGCUUCUUUUUCUUCUUGCUCAAACCUUCGAUCCCUCCUGGUGCAGCCGGCCGUAGAUAAGUGAGUGUGGCUGGUUGCUGUGUCUUUGUGCAUCACUGCUUUAGACUAACAACCCCCCCCCCCCACACACACACACAGAAAAACGCACAAAUUGGAAAGAUUAAAUAAUUUUUGGAGAGGCAUACCAGAUGUUCCAAGCUUCACAUUCAUCCAGCAACAUCCUCUUCAUUUUCCUCCCUUGUCUCCUUCCCUCCCCCGUUUCCUCACUCAUCUGGCCUUUUAUUCAUUUUCUCCUUUCUGUAGAACCUCCUCUCUUCCCUCUUCCAUCCUUUUAUCAAUCUGCCAUUGGUGUUUUAAAACCUUCUUUCUAUUUGGUCUUCAUUGUGACGCUUGCAUCCUCCACUUCUUCCUCCCUUUACUGUCGAUGCUUUUCUAUGUUCUCACGCUCUGGAGCCCGUUGGCUAAAAACACUAGCUUUUAUUUUGCUAUUGAAAGCAUAUUCACAUUCAAUUAUUUCUUAAUAGUUGUGGGUGUGACAGAUUUCGUUGCGUUUUGUGAUCUCCAUCCUUCCUGCAGCAGUUCCCACUCCCUUCGUGUAAAUCUGUUCCUAUAUAUCUAUCAUUCAUCUUCUUUCAGGAUCAAAAUGACUCACAAAAUCUUUUUCACAUCAUUUAUUUCGGGCUUGCUUUGAUUCCAUGUCCUUUUUUAUAAACCAUCUGCAUACCCAUUCACACACCCUCCUACUCUUUUUAUCUCAUAUCCUCUUGGGACAUCAUUUCUUGCUUUCCUUUCCUUAAAACACCCCCCCCCCCCCCCCCCUGUCAUUCUCUCUAGGAGUCCUAUUGAUUCUCUAAUGAGAUCCUCAGAUGUUCCCCCACCACGAUAAGCAAAUUAUACGUCUCCCACAUAACUCAUGCACACAAAUAAAUCAAUGGAAAACAGAUGUGAGACAGAGAAAUGAUCAGGAAAUGGAGAAGGAAGGGGGGUUGCACAUUUAUUCAUUUUUUUACUUCUUGGUUUUCUAAGCGGAGGUUCUGCUUUAUGAUGGCACCCGUCCAUUACAUCACGGUGCUUACAUGGUGCUUUAUGGCAGUGACUUCAGCAGAAGCAAUAUUUUAUUUAUUAUGUCUAUUAUAUCAGUUCAAGUUGGAAAAAUAAAUAAAUCGACACUAGUUUUGUCUCAUCUGAUCUCACUUGGGUGUCCUUGCAUUUCCAGUGCAACUCCCUCUAACCUCCAACGUUUGAAUCCUCCACACUUUCUUCUUCCGUCCAGCCAAAUCUGCUGCUCCAUCUACCCCCGGUACCCUCCCCAAACCCCCCCCCCCCCACACCCACACCCACAGCCAACCUCUGCCCAUUCAUCCAGGUAUCGAUCGAGCUGUCAAUGAUAUGCCACGUUGAUUGACAGCUGCUAAUUGGCUUAAUCCCACCCCCGGGGGCAUGUUGGCUGUGUGGCUGAUCUGGAAACAGCUGUCCCUAUUGUCCCAACAGCUGACACCGUGACCCUCGGGGAGCCGGUGAAGGGGGACAGAAGGAGAUAUGAGACGGAGAGACGGCAUCUUAUUUUCAGUGGAACAAACAUUGACACACAUUAUCAAGUUAAGUUUCCUCCUCGUUGGCGCUCCACGCGAAUGCCUGAGUGCACGUUGCGGCAUCAAGCUCUUGUGCAGAUGUUUACUGUAUUUUUGGCUGCUAAGCAGAUUGGAAAGGAAGCACACGGUGCGUUUUUUUCUGGGACGUGGCGUCCGACUCGUCAAAGUAGGAGGAGGGGCUACUGAGGGGGAGACAUAUGUCAGAGUCCCACAGACGGAGACCUCUGCACCACCAACAGCGGGUUUUCAUCAAGUGCUUUGACAGACGCAUCUGGCUCUGAGGUCAGCGCCUCUUUCGCCCGCAGUAUAUCCGUGCAUCAGCAGCCGCGCGCCCAGUCAAGAGUGUCCUUGAGCGAGACAGCGAGUCGCCGAGGUUGAGCUAGAAAGAGGGAGGACGAUAGAGAGGGGGAGAAAGAGAGAGACAGACGGUCACCCAGGAGACGAAGGAAGUAGACCCAGAUUAGCUUUGCUCUAUUGAGGAGGCAAGGGGCAGAACACAAGGUCUGGGUGGACGCCGCUAAGCCUUUAAAGACCCCCCUUCAGCCUGGGAUGUACCCCCCUCCCCCCCCUCGCCCCAUCCAUUUAUCCAGCAAGUGACACACACCGUUUACAUUCGCACACUAGCCCACGGAGACCUUACUGAACAUAAAGGCAGGCCGAUGAAGUCAUUAAGUGGCUUUACAGCUUCAUUUUAAUUUAAUUAGUUUUACGUAUAAUGAUGUGCAAUGAUUACAAAGCAACAUGUGCAUUGUGCAACGCUUCAUUCCUUUGAGUAAAGGACCCCUGGAUUGCGCAUAUGUUCAAUGUUGGACAGCUUGACACGGGAUGAAGUGUAUAUUUGAGGGAUUAAAACAAUAAAGACAAUUGACUCGUCCGUGUGCUUGUACAGAGAGCGAUAGUGUGCUUGGAUUAGUCCAAUACACCAAUACAACACACACCACCAGUAGAUGCCUAAAGGGCCUCAGCAUGGUAUUGAUCCAUAUAUGGAUCUCGCUGUGUUUAGCCUGUAAAUAAUAUCGACGAUUUUAAUCAAAAGUCUUAACAACCUUUGACCUCAGCAAUGAAUCUCAAGAAGCAACCGUUGUUCUCGUUUUCUUUUCUCCGAGGGUUGAUGACUAGUUUGGAAAUGAGCUGAUGAAUGACUCCCGGUCAGUGGAGGGGAACAGGGGGGGGGAGGGGGGGGGCAAUUGAUCAGCAAUGCUGCGGAUCAUUACACCUCCCGUGCAUGUGUAAUGAUCCCAGUUAUCUCUCAAAAUCGCCCCCCUCACCCGAAGAGCCCCAACGAGCGUUUGAGUCAAUGACAGACUGGAGGACACUGGGGUCAUUGUGCCGAAACAUCUCAUUUCCCUCCCCGCUCCACGGAUACCUCAUAAGAACCCCCCUCUUUCAGCCCCACUCGGUUGUUGAAGCCAGACGCCCCCCCCCUCCCUCCCUCCUUCCCUUCCUUCUUCCUCCAGGUUGACACAGAGAGCCCUUUGUUGUCCCGAGCUGCAAUCACAUACCUCAAUGAGUUCGCACUGUUGCCCCUCAAGCUUCCCUCCGACCAAGGAGCCACGUGCCAAACCUGAGGUUCAUCCAGCAGCUCGUGUGGAUGCACCUCCGCUUCCCCCCGAACCGAUGCAUGUCGGUUCACGGACGAGCACCUGGAAAAAGCCACGCGACCGCUUCUCCUUUUUUUUUUUUUUUUUUUUUUACAUUCGAUUAAACAUGCUUGAAGUUUGGAGGUCCGUUGGAUCUGUGAGUGCCUGCAGCACGGAACGACACAAUGGCAUGAAAUGUACACGGCGCGGUUGAGGGAUAAUGUAUCUGGAGCCGUUCCUGCCCACUCAGUGCAAGUCGCUUGGAAUAAGUGCACCAGACAAAAACAGUAUCUGAAGGGUGAACGCCAAUGGAAAUCCUCACAAACGAGAGGCGUUUUUCUCGCCUCCAAAUGUCACCGGGAUGCUUCUUUGAUAUGUAUUUCUUUUCAUCUGGGGAGUGAAACCUGAUGACACGCAGCUCUUAUUGCUCUAAUCUGCUCGUGCAGAUAUUUGCAUUGCUUCGCUGAAUAAAAUAUCAGCGCGCUGCGCGAAUAAAACGUCACGACUGUUUUCCUGUUAGGAAAGAAAAGGUCAGAACAGCUGUCUAGAGCCGCGGCGCUGUAGGCCUGCUCUACACACACAAACGCACACCGCUUGUGCUGUGAUUACAACUUUUAAGGACUGAUCCACACUGUGCCCCGCUCCCCCCAUCCCUCCACCCUAAACUCCACCUAAAGCUUCAUGGAACUAAAGAACAGCUAAAACGUUGUCUGCUCUUUCCAGCUCUUUCUGUGGUUCUGGAAACAUCUGGUUCAGAUGAAUAUAAGCGCACAAGGCGACACGCAUGCAAACACACGCACACACACACACACACACACACACACACACACACACAGCUGCAGACCCUUGAGUGAACUCGCAGUCUCACCUUACGGCGACAGUGACACAAGCAGAAAGACGGCCUGGAGCUACCUCUGUCCGUUGCUCUGGUGAUGCUCGGGUGCACAUACACACAUUUACGGUUCGUGCACGCACACACAUACGCACUACACGUCGACCUUGCAUGCUCAGCUUUAGCACCAGUGUGUGAAAACACAUUUGGGGGCACAUUGGAGUGACACACAGACACACACACGGUGACCUUGUUUGUUCAACCUUGUCAGUAGAAUAUAAACAGUGUUGCAGUGUUGGUGACACUCGCUUUCAUAACAGCAAAAUAAAAAAUAAACAGGCUGGCGACAAAUUUGAUGUCACUCCACAUAAAACACAGAGAACACGUAUGUUGUGUGAAAGUAGCUCCAAGCAGCUGCUGCUUUAGUCAAUUAGCGGAUUGAACGUCAACACCCUCGCUAGUCGUCACCAGAAAUACGCCUCAGUUCUUAAAAGUCUUUAAUGUCGCCUGGAUCUCUCGGCCCUGAGCAGCGCACCAAGCCGGCUUACUAGCUAGCUGUGCUAUGCUACGCUAUGCUAUGCUACGGACUAAAGCUAGCGAUCCUGUAAAUAUAGUGUGGGCGGGUUAUUGUCAUCAUAAAUGAUCCAACGUGCACUCUGUCACAUCCCUUUAUUGGACAAUGAAAGAAGCUUCGUGGCAUAUUGGGCUUUAAAAGCAACAUCUACUCGUCUCGCUGUAGAGAACCAGAGCGGCUUCAUUAGGACAAUAACAAUUUGACCCGUUGGGCGUCUCACUGGGAAAGGUCGGCGCUUUCAACCCAACGAGACGGUGACGGCCGGAGAAAAAGGCGAGCAGGGAGGUUUAGUAUUUAGGAGAGAGCCGAUGAUGCGUGACAAAAAGAGGGAGGCUUCUUUAUGUCGUGGUCAACGUUUACAGACAAGCGCCAAUAAAGUGAAAAUGAUUACUGCUCAAUGGAGAGGCGGCGGGGCGCAUUCGAUCACAUUACACCAGUAAGAGUCUCACAGUCAAUGAAGCACGGCCACGGAGGGAGAGCGAACGGGGGGAAGGACGCUGAGGGGGAGGAAGGACGCUGAGGGGGAGUGCGGGGGCCGGCGAGCGAGAGGAAAAGGAAAAUCAAGGAACGCAUACAGGGAAAGCAACGGAGGGAGGCCGCCGUUAUUAUGGUAAAGAGGUCAACCUUGCACUAAAGCUCGGUCAUGGAGAAAGGAAAACAUGGUGCGUGUGUGCGUGCGUGUGUGUGUGUGUGUGUGUGUGUGUGUGUGUGAGCCUUAUCUCCAUUUCUCUCCUGCGUGUGCACAUUGGUCAUUUGCCACAGAAGUGUGCACGCCUGUAUGUGUGUUGAGGACAAAGACGGCGGUUACAUAACAGGCGCAGUGGGAGGAGCUUAUAGUAAACUAUAAAUAUGUCCUGGGAUUUUGGCUAAAUUGAGAAAACGUUAAAUUGAGUCACGAUGCCAGAAAGCUGCGCCGGCGUGCACACACACACACACACACACAGAGAAACACACACACACACACACACACACACACACACACACAGAAACGCGAGUGUGUGUGUUUGUGUGUAACUAAGGAGCCUCGUCUCAUGUUCGAUCAGGUAAAUCUCAUUUGCUUUAAACGCAUAUGAAUUGUGGGUAAAAAAAAAUCCCAUUAUCUAUCUAACGCCCACAAACACAGAAUGAAUGGGAGCCCCCCCCCACACCCACACACUCAGAAUGUCAAACCGAGCUUGCCGCCAGCAGACAGAAGUUUUUUGCCGUUUUUGUGAGAUUUCUCAAAAAUAACGCGACCGCCAAAAUGACUUUGACGCUAAAUUGGCGCAAAAUGUUCUCGGCCUCCAAAAAACCACCCGAAGCCACUUAAAGAAUCCGCUGGCUGGAGACUCUGCGUCUCUCACAAUGGGGAGCUAAAUAAAUAAUGUGGUUAGACAGAAAUGCGGAGACGGUAAACAGGCAUAUUGGGCCAUUUAUUUCCAGCGCCUUACCAGCAGGCGCCAGACAUUUAUUAUUAUUAUUAUUUUGUAGUUUUCUGCUUCUUGUCUCCCCGGGUAACUUCACUUCCUGCCUUGUCCUGUCUUCCCCUGUGAUUGUCUGAUUGGUUCCACCUGUGUCCAAUCACCUGCACCUCCCUGGUGUAUUUAAGCCGUGUGUGUCUCUUGUUACUGGUGGCGUCAUUGUCGAUUGUCCUGGAUGUUCCUGCCUGCCGUUUUUUCCCCUGGUUCCUGUGUGUGUUUUUGCCCCUUGGCCUUUUUGACUUUGGUAUAUUGACUAUUAAAGUCUUUUUGUUUGAAAGUCUGCGUGUGAGUCCUGCCUUCCCCGUAACCCUGACACAUCUGUGUGAACCUGCUGUUAUUCAGAUGAGUGUGUGUGUGUGUGUGUGUGUGUGUGUGUGUGUGUGUGUGUGUGUGUGUGUGUGUGUGUGUGUGUGUGUGUGUGUGUGUGUGUGUGUCUGUCUGUGCACGUGGCAGGUUGAUCAGCUUCAGUUUCUUUCAUAAAAUAUAUAAUACAUUAUGUUCACAGGUGGUUCAGAAAUCAAACACUGACGUGGAAUGCACACACAUAAAACACACACACACACACACACACACACACACACACACACACACACUGUUGGUUGUUCGCGACUGUGCAAAAGAGUUCACCUUUACAAAUGUGUUCCAUCAGCAAAAUUAACUGGCUAUAAUCAACAUAACCAAGUUAAAUAUGGUAAUCGACAACACAAGUACACACCCUAAUCUGUGUAUGUGUGUGUGUGUGUGUGUGCGCGUUGUCCACACAGCGGCAGGCUUAGCGGAGUUAAAAGAUGGAGGAAGAUGGAAGGGUGGGGGUGAGAGAGGGAGAGAUGGAUUGGAAGAGUUGAGUUGAUGUAAAAUAAUCAUUCAAAGAGCAUUUUGAGGACGUCGCUUUAAGCUCUGUGAAGUUGUGAUGGAUGUGCUUUGUGUUCUCUCUCCUGCACGGAAUGACUGAAUGAGACAUCUCAUGAAUCAAUAAUCAUAUAAAAUGGGAUGAGAGGGGGGGUGGGGGGGGGACGACCACAUCACUGGUGGCUCACACACACACACACACACACACACAGAGUUAAUUAUUAUGGGGAAUAAUGAGAAGCACGACUCAUUAAAUCUCUCCUUGACCCGUGAGCAGACACCGGCCUUCUUCUUCACUGACUCUACUGAGCAACCAGAGUCUGUCGGAGCGGAAGCUUCUCCACCGUCAAUUAUUAAUUGUUUUUAAAACAGACGCACCUCUGAAAAUCCAGCGACCGUAAUUUGGAGCGAUUUAACAGACGAGGAGAGGGAAGGCUCCUGAGUCUGGUACGUGAGAGGAAGUCUGACCUUCUCUCCUGCAGAACGCCGCCACAGCGCAGACAACAAGCAACAAGCUUCUCCUGCUCCCGUGUGACCGCCGUCAUGAGACCAGAAAACCGUCUGACUGCCACAGGAAACACGCCACACUGGAUCACGCGCGCACACGCCAGUCUACACUGCACACUGCCGUGCGCUUGUAGAAGGUAAAGGUACCGCGCAGACACACACACACACACACACACACCAGCGGUGCUCAGAUCAAUAUGGCCGUCCAUCUGCUGUAAUCAAUUGUCAUUCCGAUCGGAUCGACGGCGCCGCGCUCACAUCAUCGAGGGUCCAAUCCACGGAAUUGCUCGUUAGUCCUGAAUUGGCAUCGACCCGAGCUCCUCCUCCUCGUGGUCUCCAGGCGGCCCGCGCCGCUCCCCUCUGAGCGUGGGUAUGUGUGGGGCCGGAGGUCAAAGGUCAGGCUAACCGAAGAGCAGUAAAAGAACCGGCGUUAACGUCGGCGAGCUGAGGCGUGACCCCCCCGCGGGCGGCUUCGAGAUGAACGGCGAGCUGCAUCGAGUCCCAGGAAUGUGGAGCGCAGGCGGACUAAGUGAAUCCACAUGAGCCCCGAGAGAGAGAGAGUCCGCGUAAACCACAGAGGACCACCUGCGCCCCACAAGCAGCAGAAGACCCCCCUCAAUCGACGCAAACAAAUGAGCCACUGUCCUUCUGUCUCCCAGGUGGGCAAGUUAAGACAUUAGAGGUCAGAAACCGGAACAACCGACUCCGUCAUUUAAUCUAUCUGAGGCCGGAGAUUAGAGAUAUAAUCCCAUCAGGCCGCCGUGGGAUACGUAGAAUCAGCGUGUCAUCUACCUCUGAGCAGGAGACACGCGCACACGGACGUGAAAUCAAUGAGUCACAGGGACGUUUAGGAAAAACCGGCAAGCAAGUAAGACGCGUAACGCGGACACGAGCAACAACGGCGCUAACGUGGCUUCCAGCUAGCGACGAGCUUUAAAGAGCCGUCCUCUCCCAUUACACUUCAUUGUGUAACACGCGUCGUGUUACAUUCAUUCAUUGUGUUACAUUCAUUCAUGGUGUUACAUUCAUUCGCGAACACGGGCAGCAACGAAAGAAGAAGAAAGAACACCCCCCCCCCCACCCCC
Molecule: long non-coding RNA, 8546 nt
Organism: Gasterosteus aculeatus aculeatus (three-spined stickleback)
Lineage: Eukaryota; Metazoa; Chordata; Actinopteri; Perciformes; Gasterosteidae
Source: Ensembl